CCCUAACAUAUUCCUGAUUAAAAACUACAUUUUUGUAGGUUUACCCAUGUAUAUUGGUACAAUAACUGUGACGUCUUGAAAGGCUAUUGUAAUUUUUUCUUUUACAAACUUUCAUUGACGGAAGGCGUCAAAGCAAAAUUUAAAAAAGCCAUCCAAGAUGUCAUAAUUAUUGAUAUAAAAACUCUAAUUUUUAUAUGUGUGCAUGUAACAAAUUUGGUUGUAGAGGGGUCUAAAUACAGCACAAACUACAUUUUCCAAAAGACCAAAAGAGUGAAAAAAAUAGAUUUUAACAACAAC
Molecule: long non-coding RNA, 297 nt
Filed under: Mytilus galloprovincialis (Mediterranean mussel)
Lineage: Eukaryota; Metazoa; Mollusca; Bivalvia; Mytilida; Mytilidae
Source: RNAcentral